UACGGAGGGGGCUAGCGUUGUUCGGAAUUACUGGGCGUAAAGCGCACGUAGGCGGCUUUGUACGUUAGAGGUGAAAGCCCAGGGCUUAACCCUGGAAUUGCCUUUAAGACUGCAUCGCUAGAAUUGUGGAGAGGUAAGUGGAAUUCCGAGUGUAGAGGUGAAAUUCGUAGAUAUUCGGAAGAACACCGGUGGCGAAGGCGGCCUGCUGGGCCGGUCCUGACACUGAGACGCGAAGGCGUGGGGAGCGAACGGG
Molecule: ribosomal RNA, 253 nt
Filed under: uncultured bacterium
Lineage: Bacteria
Description: partial 16S ribosomal RNA
Rfam family: Bacterial small subunit ribosomal RNA
Source: RNAcentral